Molecule: long non-coding RNA, 1201 nt
Filed under: Sorghum bicolor (sorghum)
Lineage: Eukaryota; Viridiplantae; Streptophyta; Magnoliopsida; Poales; Poaceae
Description: long non-coding RNA (SBIC_LNC006620)
Source: RNAcentral
GGUGGGGAAUAUGUGGCGGUUAGAAAACAAGGGUGGGAUGGGUGGGUAUUUUUUUUUGUUUAUAUAUACGCAGCAAGCAAUGAUGAUCAGAUCAAGGGUGGGAUGGAUGGGUACAUGGAGCAAGCAAUUUGAUGAUUAGAACAAAGAUAAUAACUAGAACAAUGUGGAAAAGAAAAAUUCAGCAACUAGACAAAUAUUAAAGGAUUAAAACUCGAUAAAGCAAACUACAAAAUCAGUAGCACAUAUGAAUUUGGGCUGUAGGUUUUCUUUUUGGCUCUCAGUGGACAGUAGGUAUUUAAACUCUAUCCUACCAAAAUCAAGAACAAUCCUACCGAGGAAACGAAGGCUUUGAUACCAGAUGAUAUGCUCACGCCUAGGGAUAGCGUGAGACAAGUCGUUGUGGCCCGAUCUUCUCGUAGGAUUCGCGAACUUGAUAACUUGUCGCUGCGUGACCUGGUGAAGAGGCAGUGCACCGCGAGGCUGUCCACGCGACGAACUACCGAGACAAUCACCCUUCCACGUACCGACGAACAGCCCACGCAGUCACGCCGUAUAGACGUGAAGGCACAAGCUGUAACAUCCCUGAUGUUACGGUUACUAAAAAUGGAUCAUGUCAUCAUGAGCAUUGCAAAUCAUAUUUGUUAAAGCACAUUAGCAUGCAUCAACUUAAAACAAGUUUAUUUUUAUUGCUUGAGCUUAGGGAGGUAGAGUGUGUUUAUGUGGAAUGUUGAUGCUUGUGUGGUUGCUAAAAUCCUAGGGUGGGAAUUUUUUUCCGAAAAGCUAAGGGGGGGGGGAAAACCCUGAUUUCUGGAUCCUAGAAUUGCCCCCUUUUGCAUAAGUCAAAAACUAAGCAAAAUUUGAGGUUGAGUUCAAAAGCAAAGUUGUAGCUCUUGGCAAGAUGUACAACUUUGGUGUUUUGAGUUUUUGAAGUUUCAAUACAAAAUUCAAAGUAAUUUUGAAAAUACAGAUUUCCAGAAGUUGUCCCCUUUUCCAACUUAAAACCCCAGUUCAAAAUCUAUUUGGAAUUUUAAAAAGUGGUCAACAUGAAAGUUGUAGAGCACAAAAAGUUGAGCAACUUUCAUGUUGGGAGUUUUUCAAGUUGUUAUGCAAAAUCAAAAGUAAUUUUGGAAAUUCUGUUUUGCCCCAAUUCAAAAAUUUGGAAUUUCCUUGAUUUGAGUUUGAUUUUCAAACUGUUUUGGCC